CCCUCUGUUUAGUUAGUGGAAUUGAGAACAAGGCCCAGGUGGAUGAUUGAGGACUAAACCCCAAACUUGCCUUGGAUCACUCCACUGUUUCAGGACAUCAAGGGCUCCAGACAUUGAGAAAUUUUCCCUUUAAGUUGCGAUGGGAAUCCAGAAAACGCCAUAUGGACCCCUCUAUGCUGUGAAAUACUUCAGUACUCAGGAGAAGUCACGUUCUGGUUGCUGCAAGCGUGUGAUACCCUGUCAUUAAAAUAAGAAAUAGAUUGUUAUCCUCUG
This 273-nucleotide long non-coding RNA is filed under the name Homo sapiens (human). RNAcentral's name for it is "long intergenic non-protein coding RNA 2652". The record is from RNAcentral. Lineage: Eukaryota; Metazoa; Chordata; Mammalia; Primates; Hominidae.